CCUACGGGGGGCUGCAGUGGGGAAUAUUGGGCAAUGGACGCAAGUCUGACCCAGCAACGCCGCGUGAAGGAAGAAGGCUUUCGGGUUGUAAACUUCUUUUAAGGGGGAAGAGCAGAAGACGGUACCCCUUGAAUAAGCCACGGCUAACUACGUGCCAGCAGCCGCGGUAAUACGUAGGUGGCAAGCGUUGUCCGGAUUUACUGGGUGUAAAGGGCGUGCAGCCGGAGAGACAAGUCAGAUGUGAAAUCCGCAGGCUCAACCUGCGAACUGCAUUUGAAACUGCCAUGCUGGAGUGCCGGAGAGGUAAGCGGAAUUCCUAGUGUAGCGGUGAAAUGCGUAGAUAUUAGGAGGAACACCAGUGGCGGAGGCGGCUUACUGGACGGUAACUGACGCUGAGGCUCGAAAGCGUGGGGAGCAAACAGGAUUAGAUACCCCGGUAGUC
This 442-nucleotide ribosomal RNA is filed under the name uncultured bacterium. RNAcentral's name for it is "partial 16S ribosomal RNA". It matches the Rfam family "Bacterial small subunit ribosomal RNA", at positions 338 to 795 of the family's 1533-position model. The record is from RNAcentral.